AGGGAUGUAAAACUAUGUAAGCUAACUUAAAUCUGAAUAUGAAAAGCAAAAUAAUAAAACAAUAGCCUAUCAAAAAUAAAUAAAACAAUAAUCUAAUAUGGAAAGUAAGGAAGUCUAAUCUGUCACUCGGGAUGUAAGAUGUAAAUGAGAGGAUGCAGAUACACAAGAGAAGAAAGGGUGGAUGGAAGAACACAGGAUGGGGCACAAAAAGGAAGCAGAGGUAAGUCGGUCAGGACUCUUUUUGGCUGGACGGCUCUGUCGGAAGAGACUUUUUCUUCUGUUCUGUUUCUUCUCUUUUGUUGACCCUUUUCUCUGGCAUUACACUUAGUUUGUUUUACUGAACACAUGGUGUUCUUUUUCCCACUUAACUUCCGUCUCUCUUGCUGUUUCUCCCCUCCUGAGCUGUUGACAUUCAGUUCAGUAUCAUACCCUUUCUGUCAGUUCACUCUACAACUUUUUCAUAGCCUACCUCAUGAGAUUCAAUGCUUUUUGUAGUUGAGUCCACAAACACACACACAAACUGUGCAGAGACUUUCAUUCAGUAUUUUUAUUCAAAGAAAGAGAGGAAACCAUUACCACUAUGUCUGGGAUAGUGGUGCCCAUUUUCUGUCCAAGGGAGCCGCUCGCUGGCCUCAAGGUUCAUCCAAAGGAUUCUCCAUCGUGUUCUUCCAUUCCUGCAAUCAGAUGCAUGGUCUCUUAGGAACCCUUGGCUCUAGAGCCCUCCUGUGGCUACUAAAGACACCGUUCUAAUUGUUUCAGGAGGAGCACGUUACUUACAACAAUAAAGGCCUUCAAGUUCACUCUUGUGAGGACCAAAGUGAAUGUCGCAGGUUUCACGCAUGACACUGGAGUGAGAUUCUCCAGACACGUUCUCACAUAACCAACCCUGAGUUUAUAUCUGAGAAAAGCGAGAGCAUGAAUGAUCUCAGACAUCAAGAACCGCAGCCAAUGUCAACCUCCCCAUUGCUGUUGACAAACUCAAACUCUGUGUUCUAAAUGUACGUAUUUUCAUGUUCAGUACAGUCUGUUUUCUGUUAUCAAUUCCCAUAAAGUAAAAAAGAAGAGAUUUUGCAAUGUUUGCUUGUCCAAGCUGCUGUUUUCCAGACUGUAACAGCAGAGGACCAAUGCAAUUCAGCAUUGUCAAUGUCAUGAUGCAUCUUCAGUGAAUAGCUUGGAUGAAAGAACAAUGUUAAGUAAAUGAAUUAUUUCUGAAUUCUAUAAUAGGAAGAGAAUGAGCCCUUUUAGGAAAGAACACUGGGAUAUUUGUCUUUGAAUGUGUUCAUGUCAUCAGUAACCCAACUGAUGCCUUAGUAUACAAUGACUUGCAAAAAGCAUGAAGUGUUAUGCAAUAGUAAUUGAAGAAAACAGGCUGUUUAACUCAGAGUAGAGGUUGGGACUUACAGGACAUUCACUUUUAUGCUCAAAAUGAUACUAAACGUCACCAUCAGUGCACCACCCUCUAUACGCGCCAAUCGCAGACGUGCCGCAGUUCCUUCACUUCAUGUAUCUACUAUGUGUUGACUAACCUGAACAGGGCCUUGGCCUGCAUAUUUGUUAAAAUAAACA
Carassius carassius (crucian carp) is the source of this 1566-nucleotide long non-coding RNA. RefSeq lists it as uncharacterized. The transcript is spliced from 3 exons. The record is from RefSeq and is a predicted model, not a curated record. NCBI's taxonomy places the organism in Eukaryota, Metazoa, Chordata, Actinopteri, Cypriniformes, Cyprinidae.